AAACAUGGAAUUCUACCAAUAGCUAGACUCCAUCAAUAAGCAAUAUAGAUUUGCCCCAAUGGCAGUGUUAACAUGAAAAUAACGGAAGGUGCGAGAUAAAAGCUAGGUGGUAGGACUGUAAAGAGUGGCUGCAAGUCAGCGUCUCUAGCAUUCAGUCACAAAGACAUACAACUCCAGCCAGAGCAAUUCUCAACCAUGCUUCUUUCUCAGUAGCACAAUAGCUGGAAAAUGUAUCUUUCUUAAUAACUGUACAUCAAUACCGCAAAUACACACUUACUGUGACAGAUUCCAAACUUAGUACAAAUUCCCCUCUCCAGUUCAUCUUGAAAUUAAGAGAUCAGAAGAAAGUAGGAUUUCCAAUUGUGCUAUACCAAUCAGGAUACAUUUAUUGUUGAAAACUAUAUACAUAGAUGAUCAUGCGGCCAGAGCUAGCGCUCAGCAACAAUAGUCCAGUUCUCUUUUGUCCGCCACUUUCUCAAAGUUAAGCUGAAUUGCUCGUUCCUAUCUCUAUGCCGUUACAAAUGAGCAGACUCCAUGUUACCUGGUGUUUAUCAAGUCAAAAAAAUGGCAUUUAGCAUGGAAGGCUGAAAUUCUAGGCAUCAAUCUUGUGAACAGAUGAAUUAUGAAGCAAAAGAUACACACUGCAGAGGAAAACUACAUGAGAAAUGAUUAAUGGAAAACAAUAUAAUUUGUGUAUUGUAAGAACUGAAAACAGCGGAGGACCAAUAUACUUCUUAUAGUAAUAAUUCAUAUCCAAAAAGUAAUCGAUUAUGGGAGCAUAUAACGCUGAUUUAAGCAGACAUUUCAAUAAAAACAUUUCAAAGAAUUAUAUCCAACUAAUUACUACAACGGGAUUUACUGUCAGCAUACAUCUAUAUUCAGUUAGAGAUUAUGGAGAUCCAAGGAGAAUUAUCUAGGUUGUAUGACCUGAGUGCGUAAAUCCUACAAAGGCUAAUUAAUCAUCAGAUACCUUAACGUCUCAAAAAGCUUAAUCCUUAGAAUAUUUUCAUAUCUAGAAAGAAAAUAAUCACAGCAUGUAAUCACUAAAACACGUAAAAAAAUACAGUCAAGUCGAUUUUUCAUUUUUACAGAACAAUUGGUGAGCAUGACAAUGAACUAUCGUAUCACUAAAAUGUAGCAGCCAAUGGGACCCGCAGAAACCUAUACAUCUAGAAGAAAAUAGCAUCCAAAAUUGUACCAUUGAAGGGAACUGAUACUUAGACCAAGAUAAAGUCUGCCUCACGGCCACACACACACACUCAGUUACAAUCUGCUUAGUCGGCCUGUGAGAGGAGCUUGUGUGUACAUAUUGGACACUACCUGGAUAAAUAUAGAUCGUUGUGAUGGAAGUCUCGGGCUCGUAAUGUGGAGAUGGAUGACUCAAGCAGAGCGACAACAUGUGUACAUGCCAAUUACACAUAAAAAAUACUAACAGUGGUUACUUGUCAAACUCAGUUACUGUUUCUACUGGAAACAUGCAAGCGGAAUUCAGAGAAGAGAUAAUGUCGCAAUCAUCCAAAUGUGCGAUAAAAAAAGUGGUAUGAAAUUGAAGGAUGUCUAUUAACUUACAAAAUCAGAAUAGUAUUGUCAGAGUGCAACAUUAUUCCAAUUUACUAAAAACUCAAAAAUGCUCGAUCGUUCAGAACUGCUUUGGAAGUCAAGUUAAAAGUCCGGAUGGAUUAAUAUUCUUAGGAUAACUGGCCAAGUAUAUGUGCUAUAUUGAGUCUUCAGUUUAGGUUCCGGAUUAAGCCAUCUAUGCAAGUGAACAUACAAAAGAGUGGAUAAUUUCAAAUUAGAUACUCUAGUUAUCCAAGCAUAGCAAGAAAUCAAUGGCAGAAUCAGUCGAAAAACAAAUAUAAGAGCAUGUGCACUAUAGAGGGAAACAAUGGAUCUAUACAUUGUUUUUCCAAUAACAAUUGAUGUAAUUAUGUGGCAGCAGGAAGAUGAAUUCCAGGAGGUAGUAACCUAUGGAGAGGCGAACCAACACUAUACGUACAGAAGCCAAAAUUCAAGUCAAACCUGCAGUAGAAGGUACAGUUACAAUGUGAUCAAUGACGCGACCAUACUGAAAUUGGAGGUAGUUAAAAUCGUAUAAGGAUUAUACGUCCUAUUUCCAACCUACUUACAAAUAGUAUGGUAGUGAUUAAGUUUUCUCACAUAUUUUUUCUACAGUUCCUAGUCUACAGUACUAUUUGAAGUAGAUAUAGUGUCACGCAUGUACACUAAACAUUCUGCUGCUCACAAUGGAACACAUAAAUCUGUUAAUUUCAAAGAAACAUAUUUAGUUGACAAUAUUUGGAUCAUUAUCAAUGUAUAUACCGCCCUGGCUUAAAUAUGCAAAUCACUAAAAGGGCACUCUGAUAUCUUAGGUGGUAAUAUAUAUUAGCAUAUUUUGUAUAAGUUAGCAUCUCUAAAAUCAAAACACUGGAACUCCAAAAGAAAUAUCAUAUUUAUAGGAACGAACCUAGGAAAUAUGGAUCCCAUGGUUACAUCUAUACCUAUACGAAUUUGAACACGCAGAUUUGGCAUGUUUUUCUAGAUCAAAGGGGCACAUGAAUCUAAUGGGAAAUAGAACUGCACGUGGCUUACCUGAUAUCAUCACUACGGUCAUGGAUUUGAAAAGUUGAAAUAAGAGGAGAUUUAAAGAUUUGGGAGGGAGGGGAUUGGAGAGAUUGAGUUGCAGCAUCCAUGGCCAGCGACCUACGGCGGAGAACAAAGAGGGAGAGUCGGUUGGGCGCGUGGCAGCGGUGUACCUCGGGGCGCGACGGAAGCUGCAGCUUCUCCUCGCCGGCCAUGAAUGGGAGCGCCACCGGCCGCCGUCGUCGUGUACCUGAAUACUGAGACCACAUCUCAUGGAUGGAGCCUCUAGGCCUAGGGCAUGGAGAGCGGCAGAAGAGGAAUAGUGUAGGAGGCAGAGGAGGAAGACGGGCCGAUGGGCAGAUAGGUUUUUUCUUUAUUAUAAAAUAAGAGGCGGCCAUGUGCAAUAGUUAGCCCGGCGGGAUUCAUCUAAUGGUUGUAGAAUACAUAACACGGGGUCCCACCAGAUAAACGGCUCUUAAUUUUUAAUUAACGUGGUAAUUUGCAGGGAGUCUCAAAUUAGUAU
RNAcentral lists this long non-coding RNA (3103 nucleotides) under Triticum aestivum (bread wheat). RNAcentral's name for it is "long non-coding RNA (TAES_LNC008777)". The record is from RNAcentral. Lineage: Eukaryota; Viridiplantae; Streptophyta; Magnoliopsida; Poales; Poaceae.